Molecule: ribosomal RNA, 118 nt
Organism: Fukomys damarensis (Damara mole-rat)
Lineage: Eukaryota; Metazoa; Chordata; Mammalia; Rodentia; Bathyergidae
Source: Ensembl
GUCUACAGCCAUACCACCCUGAAUGCACUAAUUUUGUCUGAUCUUGGAAGUUAAGCAAGGUUGGGCCUGGUCAGUACUUAGAUAGGAGAAAAAUUGAGAAUAAUUUCUAUUAAAUAUU